GGUAGUAAUAUAUAAUAAAACCUCUAAAAAUUGGCAGUUAUAUAACUUUAAAGAAACUCGUUUUUUAAUCGACAACACCCGAUAAUUUUCACUCAGUAAUAUAGUUUAUAUACCGCCGUUACAGAGACAACAAAAAUAAAAACUCAAAAUUAAUAUUUUUUAAAAAUCAGGUCAAGGUGUAAUCUAGACCUUAGGAAAAAUAAGUUACACAUAAAACUAAAUUAAGGAACAAUAUUAAAAACCCAAAAAGAAAAAGAAUUUAUAAAUAAUUUUUAACUAAAAUUUAAAAUAGAAAACAAUUACUAUAAUAC
This 311-nucleotide ribosomal RNA is filed under the name Carapoia pau. RNAcentral's name for it is "partial 12S ribosomal RNA". The record is from RNAcentral. Lineage: Eukaryota; Metazoa; Arthropoda; Arachnida; Araneae; Pholcidae.